GCCAGCGUAGCUCAGUCGGCAGAGCAGUGCUUUCGUAAAGCAAAGGUCGGAGGUUCGAUUCCUCUCGCUGGCUCCA
RNAcentral lists this transfer RNA (76 nucleotides) under Patescibacteria group bacterium. RNAcentral describes it as "tRNA-Thr". It matches the Rfam family "tRNA". From Rfam's summary of the family: Transfer RNA (tRNA) molecules are approximately 80 nucleotides in length. Their secondary structure includes four short double-helical elements and three loops (D, anti-codon, and T loops). The record is from RNAcentral. RNAcentral also lists the same sequence under 1 other name.